ACUGGGAUAACUUCGGGAAACCGGAGCUAAUACCGGAUAACAUUUGGAACCGCAUGGUUCUAAAGUGAAAGAUGGUUUUGCUAUCACUUAUAGAUGGACCCGCGCCGUAUUAGCUAGUUGGUAAGGUAACGGCUUACCAAGGCGACGAUACGUAGCCGACCUGAGAGGGUGAUCGGCCACACUGGAACUGAGACACGGUCCAGACUCCUACGGGAGGCAGCAGUAGGGAAUCUUCCGCAAUGGGCGAAAGCCUGACGGAGCAACGCCGCGUGAGUGAUGAAGGGUUUCGGCUCGUAAAACUCUGUUAUUAGGGAAGAACAAACGUGUAAGUAACUGUGCAYGUCUUGACGGUACCUAAUCAGAAAGCCACGGCUAACUACGUGCCAGCAGCCGCGGUAAUACGUAGGUGGCAAGCGUUAUCCGGAAUUAUUGGGCGUAAAGCGCGCGUAGGCGGUUUCUUAAGUCUGAUGUGAAAGCCCACGGCUCAACCGUGGAGGGUCAUUGGAAACUGGGAAACUUGAGUGCAGAAGAGGAAAGUGGAAUUCCAUGUGUAGCGGUGAAAUGCGCAGAGAUAUGGAGGAACACCAGUGGCGAAGGCGACUUUCUGGUCUGUAACUGACGCUGAUGUGCGAAAGCGUGGGGAUCAAACAGGAUUAGAUACCCUGGUAGUCCACGCCGUAAACGAUGAGUGCUAAGUGUUAGGGGGUUUCCGCCCCUUAGUGCUGCAGCUAACGCAUUAAGCACUCCGCCUGGGGAGUACGACCGCAAGGUUGAAACUCAAAGGAAUUGACGGGGACCCGCACAAGCGGUGGAGCAUGUGGUUUAAUUYGAAGCAACGCGAAGAACCUUACCAAAUCUUGACAUCCUUUGAAAACUCUAGAGAUAGAGCCUUCCCCUUCGGGGGACAAAGUGACAGGUGGUGCAUGGUUGUCGUCAGCUCGUGUCGUGAGAUGUUGGGUUAAGUCCCGCAACGAGCGCAACCCUUAAGCUUAGUUGCCAUCAUUAAGUUGGGCACUCUAGGUUGACUGCCGGUGACAAACCGGAGGAAGGUGGGGAUGACGUCAAAUCAUCAUGCCCCUUAUGAUUUGGGCUACACACGUGCUACAAUGGACAAUACAAAGGGCAGCUAAACCGCGAGGUCAUGCAAAUCCCAUAAAGUUGUUCUCAGUUCGGAUUGUAGUCUGCAACUCGACUACAUGAAGCUGGAAUCGCUAGUAAUCGUAGAUCAGCAUGCUACGGUGAAUACGUUCCCGGGUCUUGUACACACCGCCCGUCACACCACGAGAGUUUGUAACACCCGAAGCCGGUGGAGUAACC
This 1317-nucleotide ribosomal RNA is filed under the name Staphylococcus sp. Its description in RNAcentral is "bacterial SSU rRNA". The record is from RNAcentral. Lineage: Bacteria; Bacillati; Bacillota; Bacilli; Caryophanales; Staphylococcaceae.